UAUUUCUGAUUAAAUCUCUCACUCGAAAAACUGACUGGAUGCACCUUGCGUAAGUUACGUUAAUAAAUGCCCUUCAGAUCGAAAUAAACUAUCUUACCUUGACUUUCAAAGCUUAAAUCCCGUGUUUACUCUCUCUGUCGUGUCGCAUUGAGGUCAGGUAAAUAAUAAUAAAAGACUUCACCUGAACUACACGCCUGCGUGACGUAACGUGAUGACGAUGUGCGAUGAUGCGGACUUGAAAAUAUUUACAUUUAUAAUUUCCUGUAUGAAAGUAGUUUAAUUUAAUUUCAAUGGUUAGCAUACUUGAAAAAAACGGGGAAAAAAAACAUUGUAGCGAUAAGAAAGUUAUAAAGUAUUGUUUUUGUUAACGAGGAAGUAGCAAACAAAUCAUUAUAUAUAUAUAUAUAAACGUUAAUUGUAGAACGUGUUGGAAUACGCACAAAUUCAAAAUAUAAAGAGACUUUUUAAAAUCUGUUUAUUUAAUGUUAUUAACACAUUUCUGAUAAAUAUAUUUUCUUCUAACGUUGAUGGACAAGCGCGAAUCUGCUGAAGAGAGAGAAGUUGCCAUGGUGAUGGUUUACUCUGACAGGACGUAAACAUUAGAUCUCAAGCGCGAGUUGUGUUAUUAAGUAACUGUUUGUACAUGAACAGCGAUCGUGUUUAUUUCUACAUUACUUCGUUUUCUACAUCAGCGAAGGAUAUUAUUUCGGUCUUUCUCAGCUGUGGUGGCGAGGUGAGGCGAAACAGCUCUCCAUAGAUUUGUGUGUCUGGAUCCCGCUCCAGUUCAGCUCGAGAAGACACCGGUGUUGGUGGCAUCCGGGAAAGAUGCCGUUUUCACAGUACAGACGGUGUCUGAUGUGUCCCUCAUCAGAUGGACAAAUAGUGCAAUUACUUAUCUGAUUACAUUUUAUUACUUUUAUAAACGUUUUAUAAUGUUUUCAAAUGUUCUAAUCAUUCAAACCAGGCAGGGUUAACCUUACAGUACUCAACACUGAUUACAGUCAUUUUCAAAAUCCUCCAUCACUUGAAUUAAUAUUAUUAUAAUUUAAUUUUAAAGCACAGCUACCACAAAUACUUUGAGAUUAAAUACAGAUUUAAAACCAUAACAUAUUGUUUUUGAAAUAAAAUCUUUGCAUGGUUAUGACGUGAAACA
Cyprinus carpio (common carp) is the source of this 1153-nucleotide long non-coding RNA. Lineage: Eukaryota; Metazoa; Chordata; Actinopteri; Cypriniformes; Cyprinidae. The record is from Ensembl.